UCCUACGGGGGGCAGCAGUAGGGAAUUUUCGUCAAUGGGCGCAAGCCUGAACGAGCAAUGCCGCGUGAACGAGGAAGGUCUUCGGAUCGUAAAGUUCUGUUGAAGGGGAAAAAGAGCGGAGAGAGGAAAUGGUCUCCGAUUGAUAUUACCCUUCGAGGAAGUCACGGCUAACUACGUGCCAGCAGCCGCGGUAAUACGUAGGGGGCAAGCGUUAUCCGGAUUCACUGGGCGUAAAGGGAGCGCAGGCGGCAUGGCAAGUCUGAUGUGAAAACCCGGGGCCCAACCCCGGGAGUGCAUUGGAAACC
Molecule: ribosomal RNA, 305 nt
Filed under: uncultured bacterium
Lineage: Bacteria
Description: bacterial SSU rRNA
Rfam family: Bacterial small subunit ribosomal RNA
Source: RNAcentral